RNAcentral lists this long non-coding RNA (1356 nucleotides) under Papio anubis (olive baboon). RNAcentral's name for it is "lncRNA (ENSPANG00000051402.1)". The record is from RNAcentral. Lineage: Eukaryota; Metazoa; Chordata; Mammalia; Primates; Cercopithecidae.
AUGAGUGUGUUCAUAUGUGAAACUCAUCCAGCUUGGCUUCACGAUCACACACUGUGCACUGAGUUCCAACUCACAUCAAAACUGCGGGCUGGAGCCCUCCUGCUCAGGGAAGCCUCGGAAAGGGUCUGCUCGGCCAAUGGAAGAUGGAGCUCGGAGAUGCUUUGUGCUCUUGCAGUGAGACGUAUGUCUUCAAAGUAUCUCUUUAGAAAAACAAAACAUAAAGCACCCCCACCCUGAUCACACAAUGCAUUCUUGUUCCCUUUGAAAUUUUAGGAAAUUUCUUUAAAGCACCAAGAAGAAAAAUAAAUUAUAUCUAUAUCUCCACCCAUGAAAAUGGGGUCCCUUCUCAAUCGCCUUUUUUUUCUUACUUCGUCAGUCUUGACUCUUUCACUAUCAUUUAAUAACCUCCAAGCACAUCCAUGUUAUUAGCUCCAUAAGAAAUAAUAAUCAGUAAAGCUACUAUUCAUGCACUACACGUUGUUCUAAGUGCUUCUUGUGUUUUUGUUCAUUUCAUCCCUACCUCGGCCUUAUAAGUUUCAUUAUGGUCAUCUCCAUCUUACAUAUGGGGAAACUGAAGCUUGCAUGGAGUUUGCCUAAAGUCAGGUUUACCUGACAUCUAGCUUUGCCCUCACUCAACACACUUGACCCUUUGGUGAUGGUGCUGUGGUGUCUAGAAUCCACAGGCCACUUGUCAUGUAUCCAGACUGAUUCCACGAUUUUCCAUUUGUUGUACAGACAUGUUGAAGAACAUCCUUUUGAACAGACAGCUGGGAAUCAUCAUAAGAAUUUCCUUAGGACAAAAGCAUGGUUGUGGAAUGGCUGGGUAAAAAGGUCAGCCCUUUGCCAAAUUAAUAGCCCUCCAGAAAGGUUGUGCUGUUUAUUCUUCCACUAGCAUGCAGAAAUUGUCACGACCCGCCUGCUUUUUAAAACCUCAUCCAGGAGUGACUCCCCAUCCUCCCUCUGUCAUUCCUCCUUUGAACAUACCUGAUGCGUUAUUUGGAGAUGCCAACCUAGGAGAAUGGGCACAGAUUAUUUAUCCUCGCUACUAGACCUCAACCUCACUCAUCUUGACAUCCCUCAGAGUCCCAGGGGUAAGGCCAGGUAUCUGUAUUGGGAAGAGGCUGUCUCCUUAAAGAACAGAUUCUCACCUCCCAGCCUUUGCUGGAUCACUUGUGUUUCACUCUCACUCUUAUCCCCACAGCUUCCGCUUUGACAUCAUCCUACCACCAUCACCUCCAGGAAGCCUUCCCUGCUGCCCCAGACAGGCCUGGAUGCCUCCCCAUUGCCUCGACAGCCCCAUCUUUACUCCGACAUCACACUGACCAUGUUACAUUGUACUGUAUUUCAUCAAAUCUA